Molecule: ribosomal RNA, 497 nt
Filed under: uncultured bacterium
Lineage: Bacteria
Description: partial 16S ribosomal RNA
Rfam family: Bacterial small subunit ribosomal RNA
Source: RNAcentral
GAUGAACGCUGGCGGCGUGCCUAAUACAUGCAAGUCGAGCGAACAGACGAGGAGCUUGCUCCUCUGACGUUAGCGGCGGACGGGUGAGUAACACGUGGAUAACCUCCCUAUAAGACUGGGAUAACUUCGGGAAACCGGCGCUAAUACCGGAUAAUAUAUUGAACCGCAUGGUUCAAUAGUGAAAGACGGUUUUGCUGGCACUUAUAGAUGGAUCCGCGCCGCAUUAGCUGGUUGGUGAGGUAACGGCUUACCAAGGCAACGAUGCGUAGGCGACCUGAGAGGGUGAUCGGCCACACGGGAACUGAGACACGGUCCAGACUCCUACGGGAGGCAGCAGUAGGGAAUCUUCCGCAGUGGGCGAAAGCCUGACGGAGCAACGCCGCGUGAGUGAUGAAGGUCUUCGGAUCGUAAAACUCUGUUAUUAGGGAAGAACAAAUGUGUAAGUAACUAUGCACGUCUUGACGGUACCUAAUCAGAAAGCCACGGCUAACUACGUG